This 369-nucleotide long non-coding RNA is filed under the name Homo sapiens (human). RNAcentral describes it as "HSALNT0375352". Lineage: Eukaryota; Metazoa; Chordata; Mammalia; Primates; Hominidae. The record is from RNAcentral.
GUAAAUGUUCUGUGAGCGCAGAAUAAAAGAAUCUUAUUCUGCUGUUUGGUGGUGGAGUGUCCUGUGAAGUCAAUCAGUUAGAGAAGGAAGACUUUGACUUCUGGCUCAAAUGGAAUAAUAGUGACCAGAUUUACCCUCCUGCCUGGUACAAACAAAAGUCCCGAAGAAACAAGACAAAAUAUAACAGUGAGUCUCAUAUACACCUGACAGCGGAGGACAGAGACCUAAGAGACUGGAGAAACCAAGGAGCUGGUUGUUCAAGAGCAUGGAACUCCUCCCAUCACUCCCUCUUGCUCCCUCUCUGAUCACACAACACACUGGUUCCCCUUGCCUUCUGCCAUGAGGAAAAGUUCCCUGAGGCCCCAACCA